This is a non-coding RNA of Saimiri boliviensis boliviensis (Bolivian squirrel monkey), 1661 nucleotides long. The record is from RefSeq and is a predicted model, not a curated record. NCBI's taxonomy places the organism in Eukaryota, Metazoa, Chordata, Mammalia, Primates, Cebidae.
GCCACCAUACCCAGCAACUUCUGAAAUAUUAAGAACGGAGCGAGUGCGCGAUCCUCCUCGCCCGCCGCUAGGUCCAGCCCGGCCCAGCCACCAUGUCCAUCCACUUCAGCUCUCGGCUGCUCAGCUCACGCUCCGCGGGCUUCUCCGGCCACUGCGCCCAGGCUCGCCUGAGCUCCGCGCGCCCCGGCGGCUUCUGCAGCAGCACCCUCUAGGGCCUGGGCGCCUCGUGGCCUCGCGUGGCCAUGCGCUCCGCCUAUGGGGGCCCGCUCGGCGCCGGCAUCCGCGAGGUCACCAUCAACCAGAACCUGCUGGCCCCGCUGCGGCUGGACGCUGACCCCUGCCUCCAGCGAGUGCUCCAGGAGGAACGUGAGCAGAUCAAGACCCUCAACAACAAGUUCGCCUCCUUCAUCGACAAGGUGCGCGUUUUCUGGAGCAGCAGAACAAGCUGCUGGAGACCAAGUGGGCGCUGCUGCAGGAGCAGAAGUCUGCCAAGAGCAGCCGCCUCCCAGACAUCUUUGAGGCCCAGAUUGCUAGCCUUAGAGGGCAGCUUGAGGAGCUGCAGGUGGAUGGGGGCCGCCUGGAGGCGGAGCUGCGGAGCAUGCAGGAUGUGGUGGAGGACUUCAAGAAUAAGUAUGAAGAUGAAAUUAACCGCCGCACAGCUGCUGAGAAUGAGUUUGUGGUGCCGAAGAAGGAUGUGGAUGCUGCCUACGUGAGCAAGGUGGAGCUGGAGGCCAAGGUGGUCGCCCUGAGUGAUGAGAUCAACUUCCUCAGGACCCUCCAUUAAAUGGAGUGACAGAGCUGCAGUCCCAGAUCGCGGACACGUCUGUGGUGCUGUCCAUGGACAACAGUCGCUCCCUGGACCUGGACGGCGUCAUCGCUGAGGUCAAGGCUCAGUAUGAGGAGAUGGUCAAAUGCAGCCGGGCUGAGGCUGAGGCCUGAUACCAGACCAAGUUUGAGACCCUCCAGGUCCAGACUGGGAAGCACGGGGACGACCUCCGGAAUACCCGGAAUGAGAUUGCAGAGAUGAACCGGGCCAUCCAGAGGCUGCAGGCUGAGAUCGACGCCAUCAAGAACCAGCGUACCAAGUUGGAGGCCGCCAUUGCUGAGGCUGAGGAGCGAGGGGAGCUGGCACUCAAGGAUGCUCGUGCCAAGCAGGAGGAGCUGGAGGCCGCCCUGCAGCGGACCAAGCAGGACAUGGCAUGGCAGCUGCGUGAGUACCAGGAGCUGAUGAGCGUUAAGCUGGCCCUGGACCUCGAGAUUGCCACGUACCACAAGUUGCUGGAGGGCGAGGAGAGCCGGUUGGCCGGAGAUGGUGUGGGAGCCGUGAAUAUCUCCGUGGUGAAUUCCACUGGAGGCAGUGGCAAUGGCAGUGGUGGUGCCAUUGGGCUGAGCUUUGGGGGAACCAUGGGCAGCAAUGCCCUGAGCUUCUCCAGCAGUGUGGGUCCUGGGCCCCUGAAGGCUUAUUCCAUCUGGACCACAUCCACCAGCCGAAAGAGCGCCCGCAGCUGAGCUGCUUCCCACCCCUCCAUUCCCCCAGCCACUACCCACAGUCCCAGAAGAUUCCCCUCCCUGCCUCCCAUGCCUGUUCCCAAGACCGAGAGACAGGCUCGAAAGUGAUGUCAGAAUAGCGUCCAAUAAAGCAGCCUCGUUCUGAGAUCUGA